Molecule: long non-coding RNA, 3529 nt
Organism: Triticum dicoccoides
Lineage: Eukaryota; Viridiplantae; Streptophyta; Magnoliopsida; Poales; Poaceae
Exons: 2
Source: RefSeq, a predicted model, not a curated record
UUUUUUUUUUUAAGCUCACUCACACGUAGCUCUUGAAUAUUCUGAAACAAAAACGUAGCUCUCGCUGCACUCCCUUUUCAUGUUCUUCCGUCCCCUCGCUCCACCAAAAAUCCAAAAUUGCUUCCACUCGAGCUCAAGAUUCCCAACAACACCUCAAUUCCCCUCUUGAUUCCUUGCCGUGACCUUGCUCGUCCUCACCUGCACGCACCGCUGCAGCUCGGCUCACUGGUGCGGCCACGGGGUGAGCCUAGUUUGGCUCACUGUACGCCUCCUCGAUCUCUCAGGCCGGUCAACAGCGACGGAGGGGUAGUAGGGCUUGAUGAGAAGCUGCGCCAUGGAGGAUGCGAGCUUGCCGAUCUUGACUGUGUCGUCCUCGUUAGCGUCCUUGGAGGGGAUGUGGGCGUGGAUCUCGUCUCCCGGAGCCAGCUUGGAUCCACAUCGAUUGUGAGGAUGCUGGCGGCGUUGUUUUCCCUCGCAUCGUGGUUGUCCCCGGCAAGGCAGCCCGGUAGGUCGUCUUCAUCCUCGACAGUGGCAGCCUGAAUUCAGCGACUCGUUCUUCCACCUAGAGGUCCCCACUUCUCCCUUUUCCUAUCUUUUUCUUGUUUCUUAUCCUGUCUCUGCAUGUGUAUGGCUAAACCAAUAUAAUGUGCAUUAAGCUACAGCUUGGUAGUGAAAAGAUGUAAAUUUAUUCAUGCCCCCUCCACCUUUUUCUGUGCUUGGGACUUGCGUCGGCAGAGGCCCCUCUGCCCUCGUUCAGAUUCAACAAAUUUAAUAAGUAAUUAGUUUAUUUGUGAUUAGCUAUAGCUUUAAGAUUUCCCAAAGAUUGAAUUAAUUUUAAUAAGUGAUAUGAAAAUAGGUGCUAUUACAUUUUGCAUAUUAACUGUAACGAUCUGUGGAUACUGUCACUAUUGUAUUGCAGAAUAUGAUAAGCUUAAAUAUCUGAUAAUAUAUAGUGUCGACAAAUUAUAAUAUUGAGUUAUUUCCAUUGAAUGUUGAUGCAUGUUUCAAAUACUUCUGGGAGUAGUAGAUUAUAUCUGUCCUGCCAUAUCAUGUUAUUAGCAUAGAAAAGUCAGUUUUGCUCCAUGUACUUAUGGUUAUCUAUAAAGGCUAGUAGCAUCUGUAAGUGUGUGUUUAGUUCCUACCUUAAGAAUAUUUUUGUGUAGACUAUGUUCUUGACCACAUCAUCCUUGUUGUUAGUUCAUUUGCUAUAUAAAAGAAAAUAACAGGUGUGAUCAAGUCAAUAGGAUAUUACUUGCAAGUGUUUUUCUAGGUAUUCCCUUUCUCUUAUGUUUCUCAUGAACUCCUUGAGUUUUAUGUGGAACACUCGGUCAACAAUAUCAGACCUUUCUCCUCGCAAAAAAAAAAGGAAAACCAACAAUAUAAGAUCUUUCUGCUGCUGCUUGGCCUACUUCCUGUAGCAUAGAUAGAUUGAAUCUCCGGCCAAGUUGCGUUGCAUGUGAGUGUCACAAAUAGGUCUGUGUAUCCAAGCGACUGACAUAUUUACAUAGCUUCUUGGUAGUUUUGUGCUUUGUAUCUUGGGCUAUCUGUCAAGCUGGAUGGCACAUGGCAGUUGUAUUCUCCUUCAUACCUGGUCAACCAUUGUAUUUCUAUUGCGUCUUGCAAGUCAGCAUACAAUUCGUUCUUAGGUUUACUUGAUGUCUUUCGAUCCAGUCUAUUUGUAAAGCAAAAUAUAUGCAAGGGCAAUGAACUGCAAUUUAGGCUUUUCACACACCAGCAAGUGUUUCGACAGGUUAGUAUGUUGUUGUAUAUGAUUCUCAUAGUAUUCCAACAUUGUUAUAUCCUUUCUCUUCCACUUUGCACCUUCUUUUAAAGUGUAAUGUGUAUUUUCUCUCUACCCAUCUUCUCCGUAGGGGAAUAAUAAUAUAUACUGCAUAGCCAUGAAUUUUGAAUGGUUCUCUGAUAUUCUUUGGUCUCAUGUCUGUGUACUGAACAAUGAUAUCUCAUCCUUUUCUAUUCUGUGUUGUAUCAUUCACAAUCAAGGCUGCAACUUCAGUUGCAGAUGGCAUGUCAUGUCGUCUUAAUCUCACGUUGUGAUAGACACCUUUUCAAGUUUAUCCUUUGCCAUUAUGAGUGUUUUAGCUAGCACAUGAUAUGGUUCCCUGUGGCAAUUCAACAAUGCUGAUUUUGUCGCUGUCUUGGUUAAGCCAUACUACAUGGAAAUUUGUUCUCAUGUUGUUUUGACAAAGAAAUAAUUGAUAGCUACGGUCAGGACGAAAUGUAGCAUGUCUUUAUUUAUUUAAUACACCACUUUAAAUUAGUUGCAGAUCAUAUGGAACUGCAUAGGCGGACGGGCUUGAUAACCAUUUGUGGAUGGUAAACUCUGUAAGAUCAGAUAUUUGUACAUCAAAUACACUGGGUUAUUGAAGAAACUUUUGUAAGCCUGGAAAGAAUGGAAGACAUAGAUAACACAAUUGUUGCUCAAAGCAGAAGCAAUCUAUAGUAUUGUUUCCAGUACACCUUACUACAGUCAUGCAUCAUGUAAGAGAAGUUUAGCAGUUGAAUUCAAAGAAGUAAGUAAAGAUAGUGGAUGAUAAUACACUUAAAGAAAUAAGUUUGUACAAUUUUCUUCGCUCACGUGGUUCAGAGAUUCUUAUUUUGGCAUAGUUGUGCAGUCUGGCACAUCUCCAUCUAUGAUCGAAUGUUUUCUCAUUUUCUUGUCUUGAAGUUUCAUUCUCCUCUCCUAACUUGUCAUUGUUUAUUGACCGGACUCACAUCAGUAAGAAAUUAUUUGAAAUAUUUUCCUGGUCCAAGCUUAAACCACCAACCCACGUGUGCCUACUUGAAUCAGAAAUCCAAGCUAAAUCUUUUUCUUAUAAUACCACCUAUUAAAGAUUCAUGGUUAGUAAUGGAUCAACUUGUUGUAUUGCAUAUUUGGUACUUUUAACCACCUUGGCAGUUUUCUAACAUUUUUGCUAUGUGGCCCACCUUUUAUUUCCUUUGGUUCUUCCUGCACAAUGGAGAAGAUGAGAUAUUGUAAAAUCGCUGUGUAGUACUGCUCAAGGUUACGAAGAUUUAUGAUUUUGAUAUUUUUUCUGCUUACAAAAUUUCGUCUUCGUAGGAGAUCAACUUCCAAGACCAGUGGAUGUUAAGUUCCAAUCUUCAUUUGAAAACACAAAUAUUUUCUAUAUGAUCUCUGUAGAUGGUACUUGCCGGAGGUGGUCUGCUUGCUCGAUGGAGCCGAUGGCACAAUCAAGGAGAUUUGGACACUCGCUUGUGAGAGUUACUUUUUUUAGGGAAAUCCAUUAUGACGGUGUAUAUUGAUCUGCAAUAAUAGCUACAUCAGCCAAAAGGACGGCAAGUUAAAAAGCUGGAGGUUGCUUGUCAUGGAUAUGAGUCCAACCUAUUGUGAGUUUUGUUUUUGGGACCGUGAGAUUGAUUGUAAGAUUGGUGUAAAGAACAUGACAUGGAUGGUAAAAUUGAUCGUGAGAUUAGUGUCUUCAUGGGAUAUGGGGAAAAAACAAAGGGCAUGUAUGGCUUGGAUGUUCAAGAGAAGUAAUCAACCUACCUA